RNAcentral lists this transfer-messenger RNA (363 nucleotides) under Enterobacteriaceae (enterobacteria). Its description in RNAcentral is "Salmonella diarizonae Standard tmRNA". It matches the Rfam family "transfer-messenger RNA". From Rfam's summary of the family: Bacterial tmRNA, also known as 10Sa RNA or SsrA, is named for its dual tRNA and mRNA-like properties. Its role is to liberate the mRNA from a stalled ribosome. To accomplish this part of the tmRNA is used as a reading frame that ends in a translation stop signal. Lineage: Bacteria; Pseudomonadati; Pseudomonadota; Gammaproteobacteria; Enterobacterales. The record is from RNAcentral. RNAcentral also lists the same sequence under 3 other names.
GGGGCUGAUUCUGGAUUCGACGGGAUUUGCGAAACCCAAGGUGCAUGCCGAGGGGCGGUUGGCCUCGUAAAAAGCCGCAAAAAAAUAGUCGCAAACGACGAAAACUACGCUUUAGCAGCUUAAUAACCUGCUUAGAGCCCUCUCUCCCUAGCCUCCGCUCUUAGGACGGGGAUCAAGAGAGGUCAAACCCAAAAGAGAUCGCGUGGAUGCCUUGCCUGGGGUUGAAGCGUUAAAACGAAUCAGGCUAGUCUGGUAGUGGCGUGUCCGUCCGCAGGUGCCAGGCGAAUGUAAAGACAGACUAAGCAUGUAGUACCUAGGAUGUAGGAAUUUCGGACGCGGGUUCAACUCCCGCCAGCUCCACCA